Molecule: non-coding RNA, 454 nt
Organism: Odocoileus virginianus texanus
Lineage: Eukaryota; Metazoa; Chordata; Mammalia; Artiodactyla; Cervidae
Source: RefSeq, a predicted model, not a curated record
UGAUGUCAUACAAGAUUAACAUCUGAGAUUCCAACUGCUACUAUCACGAAAAGAUACUGAAGAUAAACUGAGGUUGUUUAUCUCAGUGGAGAAAUCUUAACACUGAACCUGGGGCAACGGGCAGGUCAAGAGAAGUUAGACCUUAUAGGGAAAACAUCUCUGCUUCAACUCACGCCGUGUGAAGAACCUUAGCAGCUGUGUACAAAGAAAGAUGAGAAGGAGAUUCUUUUUGACUCCUUGGUGGUCCACCCCAGCCUCCUUGCUGCUCUAUCCCUGAAUCUGGUGAUUAGGAUGCUGUGUAUUUAUCUCAGCCAAAACCACAAUUGCCACGUCUCAUCACCUGGAAAUAAACAGCAAACGGGGCUGACUGUUACUGCUGAGGAAACGCAAAGAUGUGUUGGCAACUCCUGGGAACUGAGUCUGAGUUGCUGAGUUGGGCUCUGCAUUUGGUAUU